This 819-nucleotide ribosomal RNA is filed under the name uncultured archaeon. Its description in RNAcentral is "bacterial SSU rRNA". It matches the Rfam family "Archaeal small subunit ribosomal RNA", at positions 80 to 887 of the family's 1478-position model. The record is from RNAcentral.
CCCUUACUGCUCAGUAACACGUAGUCAACCUGCCCUUGGGUCGAGAACAAUCUCGGGAAACUGAGGCUAAUUCUCGAUAAAUCAAGAUUCCUGGAAUGGGUUUUGGUCAAAAUGAUGUAACAGCAUCUUGUUAUUUUCGCCCGAGGAUGGGACUGCGGCCGAUCAGGCUGUUGGUGAGGUAAAGGCUCACCAAACCAGUAACCGGUACGGGCUUUGAGAGAAGGAGCCCGGAGAUGGACACUGAGACAAGGGUCCAGGUCCUACGGGGCGCAGCAGGCGCGAAACCUUCGCAAUGCGCGCAAGCGCGACGAGGUUAUUCCGAGUGAUUUCCGCUGAGGAAAUCUUUUCUCAGAUCUAAAAUGUCUGGGGAAUAAGGGGAGGGCAAGUCUGGUGUCAGCCGCCGCGGUAAUACCAGCUCCUCGAGUGGUCAGGGCGUUUAUUGGGCCUAAAGCAUCCGUAGCCGGCUCAGUAGGUCUCCUGUUAAAUCCAACGGCUCAACUGUUGGUCUGCAGGAGAUACCACUGGGCUAGGAGGCGGGAGAGGCGGACGGUACUCCGAGGGUAGGGGUAAAAUCCUUUGAUCCCCGGAAGACCACCAGUGGCGAAGGCGGUCCGCCAGAACGCGCUCGACGGUGAGGGAUGAAAGCUGGGGGAGCGAACCGGAUUAGAUACCCGGGUAGUCCCAGCUGUAAACGAUGCGAGCUAGGUGACACAAGGCCUUCGGGGCCUUGUGGUGCCGCAGGGAAGCCGUUAAGCUCGCCGCCUGGGGAGUACGGACGCAAGUCUGAAACUUAAAGGAAUUGGCGGGGGAGCACAAGGG